RNAcentral lists this long non-coding RNA (1450 nucleotides) under Anser cygnoides (Swan goose). Its description in RNAcentral is "lncRNA (ENSACDG00005001538.1)". The record is from RNAcentral. Lineage: Eukaryota; Metazoa; Chordata; Aves; Anseriformes; Anatidae.
CUCUUACACCACUAUGCCAGCUAAAGAUUGAAGAAGGAUCUGCACAGCAUCCCACCUUGAGGCACGCUCUCGAUGGUCAGUGCAGCCUCAGCCCAUCUGCUGACAGCUCUGCAGCCUGCUCCUGGACCAGCAGCUCCUGUGUUGGCUAGUGCGUUAAGGUCGCUGGAAAGCUGUGCUGUGUUUUACUUGGUGUACACGAACAUCCUUCUGGUGAUUGAUGGCUACACCCUACGGAAAUGUUUUAAUUCUGUCCUUGAAGCUUGCCUUCAGGAACACUGUCAUCCAACAGGUCGCUCACAAUUACGCCAAGCCUUUGCCAUGUCCAGUAUCUUGCCUUCGCUUUGAUGUUAUGUGCUGCAGUAAUCUGUCCAGAACCCAGUCAAUCUGAAUAGAUGUACAGAAAAAUAGCUAAGGCUACUGUCCUUAAUUGUUUGUGUUUUACUUUGCACGGUUAUUAAGGAAAAUACUUGAAGCCUUCACUAUACUUAAAAAAUAAUGUUGCAGAACUUGGCUUCAGGAGGGCAGAAUUCCACUUUUUAUGUAUUGUUCCCUUUUGCAAUAACUCUUUAAACCAUAUUCCUGAGCUAUCUGAAACCCUUGGCCAGAACCUGCAGUUGAGAGGCACAGUUAAAAUGCUUCAAACUGGCUGAUAUUACAAGACUAAACCCUACUUUAAAGACGUUUAACGUUACCACGCGGCAGCCAAGCCCUCCAACACGGCAGGUUUGCAAGCCAGCAAGUCACCUGCAGCUUCUCAUGUCAUCUGCUCCAGUGACACCACCGAGAUAAACUUGAAAAUAGGAACAAAGCACUGGAAAUAUUCCAGAGCUGCCGUAUCCCAGAGGUUAUUUAACUUGGACUUCACACUCCUAAGAUUUCCAUGAAAUAGGCUGAGAACUGAAACAGUAGUCGAUAUUAAGCACAGGAUCAGUAAUUUAACUGUUACUCCACAUUUUUUUUAUGAUCCUCACUGGAUGUGAACCAACUUUUUGUCCUGGUGAUACAACUUUGCCACCUGAAAAAUGACAUUUCCAAGAGAAAAAAAAAAAUCAGUAUGGAAAGUCCUGUGGUGAAUGAAAAAACAACUUGGCAGAAAAAGAGAUAAUUUUGAAAAGCUGAUUAAUGGGUAGGGGGUUUUUUGUUUGUUUGCUUUUCUGUACUUCAUAACAAUUUCUGCACUAGAUACCAUUACCUUUGGAUUCUGUGGGUUUUCCAGGAAAAUUGUUCACUGAAAGCUUUGUGUGCUUUCAACAAGCAAAAUCAAGAGCAAGACUCCACUUGUCGUUUACCAGUAUUUGCCAUCCAUUUUUGGCAGUUUCAGAUUCAUGGUUUCUACUCCCUCUGAAAGCAAUUAGAACAGUGAUUUACAAGUCAUAGGAACAGAAAUUUGUAAAAUCCUUUAUCAGUAUAUUUCAAUAUUAAACACAAUAAAAAAUUAACUCCACCUCCA